This 4646-nucleotide long non-coding RNA is filed under the name Lotus japonicus. Its description in RNAcentral is "long non-coding RNA (LJAP_LNC001904)". The record is from RNAcentral. Lineage: Eukaryota; Viridiplantae; Streptophyta; Magnoliopsida; Fabales; Fabaceae.
AAAAGUUGACAUAAUUUUGGCUUGCACUCUCUCAAUAUAAAUUAGCUCCACCAGUGAUCCUCUUCCUAUCAUUUAGCAACAACACCGAGUCUUUAGAGGACACCCUCAUUUCACCUUCAAUUCCUCUCGUGUUCAUCAAGAAAAUUAAAGCUAAUAUGGGUGAUAGAGCUGAAUGUGAGCGUGUUUUCAAGCGCUUUGAUGUGAAUGGCGAUGGCAAGAUCUCUCUGGCUGAGUUUGCAGAUGCUCUCAAAGUGUUAGGCUUAACAUCUCAGGAGGAAGUUCAGCGUCGAAUGGCGGAAAUUGAUAAGGAUGGUGAUGGUUAUAUCACAUUGGAAGAGUUAGUUGAAUUUGAUAGCGCCCAUCCUAACUUGAUGAAGGAUGUUUUGAAGAAACUCUAAGCUUUCUGCAUUUGUUUUCAAUGUUCUUAUAUUGGCAUUAAAAAUCUUAUUUCUUUCUUGUUACCAUAUUUUUAUAUAUUCAGAAGUUUUAAGUUGUGGAGUAAUAUAUAUAAAAAUUUGUAAUAUUAAAUACAAAUUAAUUACAAAUCAUCAAUUAACCAUUUCAUAGUGAGGAAUCCCUUUCCUGGUCUUCAAAAGCUUUAUAGCAAGAUAUCUAAUUCCCCAAAUUCUGAAAGUGCAUUAUGAUAGCAUAUAUGCAUGCAAUAAUUUUCAAGGUGAUUAUCCAGUGCCAAAAGUUCUAUAGUGGAAAUCUGUAGGAAACAAAUGAGCCAAAUGAAUCAUUUUUCUUUUAUCAAAACAAAUGAAUCUCUUGGAAUUAAGUUCGAUACCAAAGAGAAGCAACUCAAUAUUCACUUUGAUUGAUAAAAUAAUUAUUCAACUCUUGAAGUUGUCGAUCAAUCACUUACUAGAUUAAUUCAACUUAUAAUUAUGAAAAUUAGUAAUUGCACUAAUUUUGAAAGUGCAUUAUUAGAGCAUAUAUCCCUGAAAUAAUUUUAAGGUGAUUAUCCAGUGCUAAAAGUUCUACAUGAGAAAAUUUGAAGGAAACAAAUGAGCCAGACGAAUCAUUUUUUCUUUAUCAAAUACAAUGAAUGAAUCUCUUGAAACUAAGCAAGCUACAAAAGAAGCAACUCAAUUUUCACUUUGAUCGAUGAAUUAACUAUUUAACUCGUGAAGCUGUUGAUCAAUCACCUAGCUACUAGAAUAAUUUAACUUAAAAUGAUGCAAAUUAUAAAUUUUGUCCAUUUUGUGCCUUGAUCUUCCUUAUGUUUGAAAGGUACUAGUCAUAUAUUAGGAAUAGCAUCAUUGUUCCUUUUACAAAAUAAUGAAAUCUCAUUGAGAAAAGAAUGUCAACCAUCAUCUCUUUAACUUGCAACCUCUAAUUUUCUUGUACAUCGAAAAAAUAAAUUGCACAUGUUAGGAAUCGAUCCCUGAAUCUCUCAUUACCCAACCAAUAUGUCCCUCAGCUCUUACCACUUGAGCUAUCCUACGGGGAUUGCGAUCUUUAUUUUGACACAGUAGCCCAAAGCAUAGCAUUUAAAAUAUCAUGAUCACUUCUUUUGUACUACUUGAGAAUUGAGAUAACUCAUUAGUAGUCCCAAAAUAUUUUUUAUCAAAAUUAAAAAGGUUUCAUAGAAUUCUACAAAGUAAAUGCUUUAACUUAUUUCUUUUUACUUUCUUUUUGUAUUUGGGUUGGAGCGUCCUUAUUCUUCCUUUAAUAAAAAAUUUGGCUUAUAAAAAAAUGUUUCAGCUUUUUGGUAUAAACUUAUUCCAUAUUCCUCCAAAAUUUCAAGCACAUAAACCUUUGAAGAUAACAAAGAAAUUAUACUAAAUAAUGUAUCAUAAUGUUAGCCUCAUGGUAUCCCAGGUGCUUAACUGUAAUAAUAAUCACAAGAGAUUUUUCCUUUUUCCGAUCCUUCUUUCACCUUAAAAGUUUGAUUUUCACGAAGAAUAUCUCGAAACUAGCUCACAUAAAGCUCUAAAUUACAUUAUACAAAUUAGCAAUUGUAAUAAAAAAUAAUGCAAUUUUUAACAUGUUUUUUUUUUAUUUUCUACAUUGUAAGCUGACACUAUUUAGAAGUGGUUAUACGACUGAAGUUAAUUUUUAUGAAUUUGUGUUGGCUCUUAUGCCAAGUGAGUUAUGUCGGGGUCGAAGUCGGUUAAACUGACACUAAAUAGUUAGAUUCAACCUUUUUAAUGUAAGCCCCGAUGCUAACCGUAAGCCAGCACUAAAUCGGCAUUAGUAUAAACUUUUACUUACUUAACGUUGACUUAUGGUCAAUGCUAAAAAUUUGGGAUUUUGUGGGGCCUUUUUAGCGGCGGGGGGGGUGGGCGCCGACCACCCCUUUACUCUAUCACUUNNNNNNNNNNNNNNNNNNNNNNNNNNNNNNNNNNNNNNNNNNNNNNNNNNNNNNNNNNNNNNNNNNNNNNNNNNNNNNNNNNNNNNNNNNNNNNNNNNNNNNNNNNNNNNNNNNNNNNNNNNNNNNNNNNNNNNNNNNNNNNNNNNNNNNNNNNNNNNNNNNNNNNNNCAAGCCAAAAGCCCAUGCGGAUCCACACCGUCCAGCUUAAUCCUAAGAGAACAGCCUAGUCCUCUGAUUAAAGACUCAAUCACCCAGUCCAAAGUCCAUGACAGUCCAAAGUCCAUGACAGUCUCUUAUAAGGCCAUUUUUUAGAGUUUUUUUUGUUCCUAAAUAUAAGUCCAUUUCUAAGAUUUAAAUAGCAUUGAUUAUUUUUUUUUCCAAAUUUACCCUCUUCAUACUUUUGCUUUUCAUAAUUUUACUUAUUUUCAAUGCCACAAUCAUUCAUUACCUUUUACUACCUUUUCAUUUGCUCGAGUACUUGGGGUAUGUGAGUAUAACUAAAUGCUAUAGAUACUACUUAGGGAUUGCCUUGAAUUAAGGUGCAGUUACGGUACCCACGAUAUUAAUCUAUAUAAAUAUAAGACUUUGUGAAACAAAUUGAGGAUGGAAUCAGCACCAAUAUCUUCUUCUACAACAAGGUUAAGAUCUGGUAUCACACUUUGUACAAUUUGCUCAAUAUCUUCUUCAUCUCUAGCUAACAAAUUCAAAUCUAUAUUCAUUGUGGUGUAAAUUGUUUAGAGCACACAUUGAAAUGGUGAAUAUUUAAGCUGGAUUUUUUCAAUUGAGGAUGGAAUCAGCACCAAUAUCUUCUUCUACAACAAGGUUAAGAUCUGGUAUCACACUUUGUACAAUUUGCUCAAUAUCUUCUUCAUCUCUAGCUAACAAAUUCAAAUCUAUAUCCAUUGUGGUGUAAAUUGUUUAGAGCACACAUUGGAAUGGUGAAUAUUUAAGCUGAAUUUUUUUAGUUCCCAAAAUAAAUUUUGGUGGGAACAAGUUUAGCGUGAAAAUUUUUCAGAAAGAAAAUCAAUUCAUUAACACUUGAAAUUGUUAGAGGGAACUAAAAAAUUUGGAAUUUGCUGGAAAUUAAAAAUGAGAGGGAACAAAUAAUUUGGAGUCUUGGUGCAGUGUUUGCAAUUAAAAAGGCAAUGAAUUAUUCAUCUAAAACAAGAAAACAGUGAAUUGCCAAUGGAGUAAAUUUGAGGGGCCGGUUGAAAAUAUCAAGAUAAACCCUUAUAUCAAUGCUUGGAGUUACUAGUGGAGUAGUUAAUUUGGAAUAAGAAUUAAUUACAUUCAAAAAAGUUAUAAAUAAGGGUAAUUUAGUAAUGUUCCUUAAAAAUUUUAACAAAUUUAUUGCUUUUAACUAAUUUUAACAACUUUUCUUAAUCCUAGAGAUUUAGUUAAAUUGACCUUAUAAUAAGGAACGGAGGGAGUAAUACAUAUCUUAGUUAUUUUCAUUCAUUCAGGAUUUAAGGAAUCAAUAACCAAUCAAAUGAGUUUAGAAUCUAUUCUUAUGUUUCGGUUUCGUAAAAUUUAGCAUUUUUGUUUAUGUUAUGAGUGCAAGUCCAUAAAUCUCGGGUAAUAGUUGGCUAUAGAAUGUUGAUGAAAGUUUGAGACCAGAAAUUAAUCAUCAGGAGUCACACAAUUCUAGCCCAUCAAUUCUUGACAUAAUUAUAGCUUGCAUGCUCUUAUAUAAAUUAACUCCGGAAUUGAUCCUAUGAUGAAUCAACAAACAAUUAAAACCCUUGCAUUCAACUUUUUAAACAUCAUUCUUUCUUCGAUCAUCAAGAAAUAUUGAAGGUAACAUGGCUGCAGAUAGAGCAGAGUGUGAGCGCAUUUUCAAGCGCUUUGAUGUGAAUGGCGAUGGGAAGAUCUCUUUGGCUGAAUUUGCAGAUGCUCUCAAAGUGCUAGGCUUAACUUCUCAGGAGGAAGUUCAGCGUCGAAUGGCCGAAAUUGAUAAAGAUGGUGAUGGGUUUAUCACACUCGAAGAGUUGAUUGAAUUUCACACCACCAGCCCAAACCUCAUGAAGGAUGUGUUGAAGAAACUCUAAGCUCUCUGCAUUUUGUUGAAUAUAUUCUUAUUCCCAUAUUAAAAACCUUCUCGUGGGAUUGUUAUGAAUUUUUGUUAUUUAAUUGAGAAUGGUUUCGAUGUUUAUGUGGGGCUUUCUUUGGGUUAUGAAAAGAUAGUCAUCACCAUCACCACUUCUUUCUAUUUUUUAUUUUUCAGUAAUUAAGUGUAUCUAUAUGUCUCACCAAUAGACAAAUAAAGUCAUUUGUCUGAGUGCUUUUGAAUUUUUAAUGGUUUCUUUUUUCUUUUAUCAGCUGAAUGUUA